RNAcentral lists this ribosomal RNA (680 nucleotides) under uncultured bacterium. RNAcentral describes it as "bacterial SSU rRNA". It matches the Rfam family "Bacterial small subunit ribosomal RNA", at positions 59 to 752 of the family's 1533-position model. The record is from RNAcentral.
CAGUCGAACGAUUAAAGCUCUCUUCGGAGAGUGCAUAGAGUGGCGCACGGGUGAGUAACACGUAAGUAAUCUACCUUCGAGUGGGGAAUAACGUCCGGAAACGGACGCUAAUACCGCAUAAUGCAGCGGCAUCGCAAGAUGACAGUUGUUAAAGGAGCAAUUCGCUUGAAGAGGAGCUUGCGGCAGAUUAGCUAGUUAGUAAGGUAACGGCUUACCAAGGCUACGAUCUGUAACCGGUCUAAGAGGACGGUCGGUCACACUGACACUGAAUAACGGGUCAGACUCCUACGGGAGGCAGCAGUCGGGAAUUUUGGGCAAUGGGCGAAAGCCUGACCCAGCAACGCCGCGUGAAGGAUGAAGUAUUUCGGUAUGUAAACUUCGAAAGAAUGGGAAGAAUCAAUGACGGUACCAUUUAUAAGGUCCGGCUAACUACGUGCCAGCAGCCGCGGUAAUACGUAGGGACCAAGCGUUGUUCGGAUUUACUGGGCGUAAAGGGCGCGUAGGCGGCGUGACAAGUCACUUGUGAAAUCUCCGGGCUUAACUCGGAACGGCCAAGUGAAACUGUCAAGCUAGAGUGCAGAAGGGGCAAUCGGAAUUCUUGGUGUAGCGGUGAAAUGCGUAGAUAUCAAGAGGAACACCUGAUGUGAAGACGGGUUGCUGGGCUGACACUGACGCUGAGC